Non-coding RNA from Paramuricea clavata, 359 nucleotides. NCBI's taxonomy places the organism in Eukaryota, Metazoa, Cnidaria, Anthozoa, Malacalcyonacea, Plexauridae. The record is from the annotation of a GenBank genome assembly.
GGCCAGCAAGCGCUGAAAAACUUUGGGCAUUCCUACAUAUAUUCGUAGGCUAGGACCUGGAAAGUCUGUCGCGUAUUUUGACGCCCUAGCAGGAAUUUCGCAACCUGGCCAAAAAUAUUGGGAGACAAGUUCACAAGGUCCUGUUACGAAAGAAUGUUCUAUGAAAGGGUAUGAGCUAGUUGUGAUAAUUGUUUUCAAUUAAGACGUAGAAUUGUCAAACCAACAUACUGUGCUGUACAAUCCUUUUCAGGUCACCACAUGCAAAUAACGUAAACGGCGAAACAUCAUAUUGAAGGGGCUUACUUCCAUAAAUUGCCGGACAUAUUAAAAUUUUCCCCGGAAAUACUUUAUCAAUUUUU